This 403-nucleotide ribosomal RNA is filed under the name bacterium. Its description in RNAcentral is "partial 16S ribosomal RNA". It matches the Rfam family "Bacterial small subunit ribosomal RNA", at positions 355 to 776 of the family's 1533-position model. The record is from RNAcentral.
UGGGGAAUAUUGCACAAUGGGGGAAACCCUGAUGCAGCGACGCCGCGUGAACGAAGACGGUAUUCGUAUCGUAAAGUUCUGUCCUAUGGGAAGAUAAUGACAGUACCAUAGAAGAAAGCUCCGGCUAAAUACGUGCCAGCAGCCGCGGUAAUACGUAUGGAGCGAGCGUUGUCCGGAAUUAUUGGGCGUAAAGGGUACGCAGGCGGUUUAAUAAGUCGAAUGUUAAAGAUCGGGGCUCAACCCCGCAAAGCAUUGGAAACUGAUAAACUUGAGUAGUGGAGAGGAAAGUGGAAUUCCUAGUGUAGUGGUGAUAUACGUAGAUAUUAGGAAGAAUACCAGUAGCGAAGGCGACUUUCUGGACACAAACUGACGCUGAGGUACGAAAGCGUGGGGAGCGAACAGG